GAUGAACGCUAGCGGCAGGCCUAACACAUGCAAGUCGAACGAGACCUUCGGGUCUAGUGGCGCACGGGUGAGUAACGCGUGAGAAUCUGGCUGUGGGUCGGGGACAACCACUGGAAACGGUGGCUAAUACCGGAUGAGCCGAAAGGUAAAGAUUUAUUGCCCACAGAUGAGCUCGCGUCUGAUUAGCUAGUUGGUAAGGUAAAAGCGUACCAAGGCGACGAUCAGUAGCUGGUCUGAGAGGAUGAGCAGCCACACUGGGACUGAGACACGGCCCAGACUCCUACGGGAGGCAGCAGUGGGGAAUUUUCCGCAAUGGGCGAAAGCCUGACGGAGCAAGACUGCGUGGGGGAGGAAAGUUUUUGG
RNAcentral lists this ribosomal RNA (363 nucleotides) under uncultured cyanobacterium. RNAcentral's name for it is "bacterial SSU rRNA". It matches the Rfam family "Bacterial small subunit ribosomal RNA", at positions 28 to 421 of the family's 1533-position model. The record is from RNAcentral. Lineage: Bacteria; Bacillati; Cyanobacteriota.